GGGAGCUUGCUCCCAUUUCUCAGCGGCGGACGGGUGAGUAACACGUGGGCAACCUGCCCUACAGACUGGGAUAACUCCGGGAAACCGGAGCUAAUACCGGGUAAUACAUAGCAUCGCAUGAUGCAACGUUGAAAGUUGGCCUCUGGCUAACACUGUAGGAUGGGCCCGCGGCGCAUUAGCUAGUUGGUAAGGUAACGGCUUACCAAGGCCACGAUGCGUAGCCGACCUGAGAGGGUGAUCGGCCACACUGGGACUGAGACACGGCCCAGACUCCUACGGGAGGCAGCAGUAGGGAAUCUUCCGCAAUGGACGAAAGUCUGACGGAGCAACGCCGCGUGAGUGACGAAGGCCUUCGGGUCGUAAAGCUCUGUUGUUAGGGAAGAACAAGUACCGUUCGAAUAGGGCGGUACCUUGACGGUACCUAACCAGAAAGCCACGGCUAACUACGUGCCAGCAGCCGCGGUAAUACGUAGGUGGCAAGCGUUGUCCGGAAUUAUUGGGCGUAAAGCGCGCGCAGGCGGUCUCUUAAGUCUGAUGUGAAAGC
RNAcentral lists this ribosomal RNA (544 nucleotides) under marine sediment bacterium BB0608_2216_5.1_1G0. RNAcentral's name for it is "bacterial SSU rRNA". It matches the Rfam family "Bacterial small subunit ribosomal RNA", at positions 74 to 601 of the family's 1533-position model. The record is from RNAcentral.